RNAcentral lists this ribosomal RNA (970 nucleotides) under Beauveria sp. RNAcentral's name for it is "SSU rRNA". It matches the Rfam family "Eukaryotic small subunit ribosomal RNA", at positions 127 to 1106 of the family's 1831-position model. Lineage: Eukaryota; Fungi; Ascomycota; Sordariomycetes; Hypocreales; Cordycipitaceae. The record is from RNAcentral.
GCACCUUACUACUUGGAUAACCGUGGUAAUUCUAGAGCUAAUACAUGCUAAAAAUCCCGGACUUCGGAAGGGAUGUAUUUAUUAGAUACAAAACCAAUGCCCUUCGGGGCUCUCUGGUGAUUCAUGAUAACUUCGCGAAUCGCACGGCCUUGUGCCGGCGAUGGUUCAUUCAAAUUUCUUCCCUAUCAACUUUCGAUGUUUGGAUAUGGGCCAAACAUGGUUGCAACGGGUAACGGAGGGUUAGGGCUCGACCCCGGAGAAGGAGCCUGAGAAACGGCUACUACAUCCAAGGAAGGCAGCAGGCGCGCAAAUUACCCAAUCCCGACUCGGGGAGGUAGUGACAAUAAAUACUGAUACAGGGCUCUAUUGGGUCUUGUAAUUGGAAUGAGUACAAUUUAAAUCCCUUAACGAGGAACAAUUGGAGGGCAAGUCUGGUGCCAGCAGCCGCGGUAAUUCCAGCUCCAAUAGCGUAUAUUAAAGUUGUUGUGGUUAAAAAGCUCGUAGUUGAACCUUGGGCCUGGCUGGCCGGUCCGCCUCACCGCGUGCACUGGUCCGGCCGGGCCUUUCCCUCUGUGGAACCCCAUGCCCUUCACUGGGUGUGGCGGGGAAACAGGACUUUUACUUUGAAAAAAUUAGAGUGCUCCAGGCAGGCCUAUGCUCGAAUACAUUAGCAUGGAAUAAUAAAAUAGGACGUGCGGUUCUAUUUUGUUGGUUUCUAGGACCGCCGUAAUGAUUAAUAGGGACAGUCGGGGGCAUCAGUAUUCAGUUGUCAGAGGUGAAAUUCUUAGAUCUACUGAAGACUAACUACUGCGAAAGCAUUUGCCAAGGAUGUUUUCAUUAAUCAGGAACGAAAGUUAGGGGAUCGAAGACGAUCAGAUACCGUCGUAGUCUUAACCAUAAACUAUGCCGACUAGGGAUCGGACGAUGUUAUUCUUUGACUCGUUCGGCACCUUACGAGAAAUCAAAGUGC